ACGAUCUUAUUCUGUUGGUUUCUAGGAUCGAGAUAAUUGGGGCAUUAAUAUUUGAUUGUCAGAGGUGAAAUUCUUGGAUUUAUGAAAGAUUAAUUACUGCGAAAGCAUUUGUCAAGGAUGUUUUCGUUAAUCAAGAAC
RNAcentral lists this non-coding RNA (138 nucleotides) under Sphaeroforma arctica JP610. Its description in RNAcentral is "Eukaryotic small subunit ribosomal RNA". It matches the Rfam family "Eukaryotic small subunit ribosomal RNA", at positions 830 to 984 of the family's 1831-position model. The record is from Rfam by way of RNAcentral. Lineage: Eukaryota; Ichthyosporea; Ichthyophonida.